UGAUUGAUGAUUAAAAUUUGAUAAUGAAACAUUUAUAUAUAUUACAAUUAUUAUUUUUAUUAUUUUUUGAUCGGAGUUAUGAUUUGCAUGAUAUUGAAUCAUGUAUUCCGAUUUCAUGAAUUGUUGAUUUGAAAACAAAUGUUAUUGGUAAUUAAAAAAAAAAAAAAAUACCAAUGAAGCUGCAAAUGUUGUCGGGGAAGACCAUCCAAUUUUUUUUAGGUAAUGACCAUUUGCUAUAUAGUAGAGUUGAGAAUUUUCUUUUUAUACAUGAUUUAAAAUUGCAAGCUUUAUGAUUUUAGUUGUAAAAUAACAAAUAUCUGGUGAAUCAUAAUUGUCUUCAUCAUAUUCAAAAUCUUCUGGACAAUAAUUAUCAUCAUCAUCAACAUGCAUGCAUCAGUCAUCUCACAGCUAAAACGGAAAUGUUAUAUUGUAAAAAGCACGUGUUUUCGAAAUUGAUAAAAUUUAUUUAUGCAUAAGUUUUAAAUUCAAUGAUGAUGAUGAUGAUGAAACAGACAGAAAAAAAAAUGACGCUUAGUCACAGAAAUCAUCAUACACAUGCAUUAGCAGUAAAGUUCAACCAUAUACUGAAAAAAACGGGAGAGUCAAAUCUAGCUGAUCAGCACACGGUGCCGCAGUUUUUGAAUCCAAUAGAUGGUGCAAUCAUUCAAUAGAACAAUACAUGUGACAAACGUGAUUUUCAUUUUGUGUGCCUGUGUGAGUGUGUAUUUGAUGAUGAAAUCUUGCCUGAAGACUGCAUUCAUUGGAAUGAUUUUUUUUUGUGUUUUUAUUCCGGUGAUCUAUGAUCUACUCAUCGUUUGUUGAUUUGGCUUUUUGAUUUACUUUCGACGCUAAACAUGAUGGUGUUGAUCGUGAUUUUUUUCGGAUGAUCCAUUCUUAGGAAUACUGUCGUCGACAUAGAAAUUCGGAUGAACAGCAACGAUAUGUUGAUAUAAUAAUUCGCGAUUGCGAAAUUUCUUGCUGCAGCAAUUGGCCGAAAAGAUCUCGCAUCUUUGGAUGGCAUGCAAUGAUUUCACAAUGGCAUUAUUCUCGCCCAAUUUUCUUCUCGAUUUUUGUUCAGGAAAUUGAGGAACCUGUGGGUCCUCACCUUCGGGUAACCAGCAAUAUUGACCUCAAGGAUUCAUACCUUUGGCUGGAUACCAAGCAUUUUGGAACAACACCUGGAAGAAAAUCAAUUAGUGGUGUUUUAAUUAAAUACUAUGGAUCAACAAUUGGUUGGAUGAGUAAAAAACAAAAAUCAAUAGCAAUUUCAACAGCUGAAGCUGAAUAUUAUGUGCCAUAUCUUUAGGUAUGGC
This is a non-coding RNA of Dermatophagoides farinae (American house dust mite), 1313 nucleotides long. Lineage: Eukaryota; Metazoa; Arthropoda; Arachnida; Sarcoptiformes; Pyroglyphidae. The record is from RefSeq and is a predicted model, not a curated record.